CUUCAGCGAGCCCAGCCAGAGGUGGUGGUCCGCGGCCCGCUCCUGCCCGUAGGUGGCGAGAAGGGACUGCGCCUC
RNAcentral lists this antisense RNA (75 nucleotides) under Streptomyces albus subsp. albus DSM 41398. RNAcentral describes it as "ASpks TB sRNA". It matches the Rfam family "ASpks TB sRNA". The record is from Rfam by way of RNAcentral. Lineage: Bacteria; Bacillati; Actinomycetota; Actinomycetes; Kitasatosporales; Streptomycetaceae.